GAUGAAGAACGUAGCGAAAUGCGAUACUUGGUGUGAAUUGCAGAAUCCCGUGAACCAUCGAGUCUUUGAACGCAAGUUGCGCCUCAAGCCAUUAGGUUGAGGGCACGUCUGCCUGGGCGUCACAUAUCGUUGCCUGAUGCCAGUUUCCUCGUGAUGGGUGACUGUGCAGGGCGAAUGAUGGCUUCCCGUGAGCAUUGUUGCCUCAUGGUUGGUUGAAAAUUGAGUCCUUGGUAGGGAGCGCCGUGAUAGAUGGUGGUUGAGUGACGAACGAGACCCAAUCAUGUGAGACCCCUACCGAAUUUGGCCUUCAUGACCCACAUGCGUCUUUGGAACGCUCAUGACGAGACCUCAGGUCAGGCGGGGCUACCCGCUGAGUUUAAGCAUAUCAAUGAGCGGAGGA
RNAcentral lists this unclassified non-coding RNA (400 nucleotides) under soil metagenome. RNAcentral describes it as "partial contains 5.8S ribosomal RNA, internal transcribed spacer 2, and large subunit ribosomal RNA". The stretch from base 1 to 122 matches the Rfam family "5.8S ribosomal RNA", at positions 35 to 154 of the family's 154-position model. The record is from RNAcentral.